GCAGUCGAACGAUGAUGCCCAGCUUGCUGGGUGGAUUAGUGGCGAACGGGUGAGUAACACGUGAGUAACCUGCCCCUGACUCUGGGAUAAGCGUUGGAAACGACGUCUAAUACUGGAUAUGACUGCCGGCCGCAUGGUCUGGUGGUGGAAAGAUUUUUUGGUUGGGGAUGGACUCGCGGCCUAUCAGCUUGUUGGUGAGGUAAUGGCUCACCAAGGCGACGACGGGUAGCCGGCCUGAGAGGGUGACCGGCCACACUGGGACUGAGACACGGCCCAGACUCCUACGGGAGGCAGCAGUGGGGAAUAUUGCACAAUGGGCGAAAGCCUGAUGCAGCAACGCCGCGUGAGGGAUGACGGCCUUCGGGUUGUAAACCUCUUUUAGUAGGGAAGAAGCGAAAGUGACGGUACCUGCAGAAAAAGCACCGGCUAACUACGUGCCAGCAGCCGCGGUAAUACGUAGGGUGCAAGCGUUGUCCGGAAUUAUUGGGCGUAAAGAGCUCGUAGGCGGUUUGUCGCGUCUGCUGUGAAAUCCCGAGGCUCAACCUCGGGCUUGCAGUGGGUACGGGCAGACUAGAGUGCGGUAGGGGAGAUUGGAAUUCCUGGUGUAGCGGUGGAAUGCGCAGAUAUCAGGAGGAACACCGAUGGCGAAGGCAGAUCUCUGGGCCGUAACUGACGCUGAGGAGCGAAAGCAUGGGGAGCGAACAGGAUUAGAUACCCUGGUAGUCCAUGCCGUAAACGUUGGGCGCUAGAUGUAGGGACCUUUCCACGGUUUCUGUGUCGUAGCUAACGCAUUAAGCGCCCCGCCUGGGGAGUACGGCCGCAAGGCUAAAACUCAAAGGAAUUGACGGGGGCCCGCACAAGCGGCGGAGCAUGCGGAUUAAUUCGAUGCAACGCGAAGAACCUUACCAAGGCUUGACAUACACCGGAAACGGCCAGAGAUGGUCGCCCCCUUGUGGUCGGUGUACAGGUGGUGCAUGGUUGUCGUCAGCUCGUGUCGUGAGAUGUUGGGUUAAGUCCCGCAACGAGCGCAACCCUCGUUCUAUGUUGCCAGCGCGUUAUGGCGGGGACUCAUAGGAGACUGCCGGGGUCAACUCGGAGGAAGGUGGGGAUGACGUCAAAUCAUCAUGCCCCUUAUGUCUUGGGCUUCACGCAUGCUACAAUGGCCGGUACAAAGGGCUGCGAUACCGUAAGGUGGAGCGAAUCCCAAAAAGCCGGUCUCAGUUCGGAUUGAGGUCUGCAACUCGACCUCAUGAAGUCGGAGUCGCUAGUAAUCGCAGAUCAGCAACGCUGCGGUGAAUACGUUCCCGGGCCUUGUACACACCGCCCGUCAAGUCAUGAAAGUCGGUAACACCCGAAGCCGGUGGCCUAACCC
Molecule: ribosomal RNA, 1372 nt
Filed under: Curtobacterium oceanosedimentum
Lineage: Bacteria; Bacillati; Actinomycetota; Actinomycetes; Micrococcales; Microbacteriaceae
Also listed under: 1 other name
Description: partial 16S ribosomal RNA
Rfam family: Bacterial small subunit ribosomal RNA
Source: RNAcentral